GACCCAUAUGUUCAUUGCAGCACUGUUUACAAUAACCAAGACAUGGAAACAACCUAAAUGUCCAUCAAAAGAUGAUUGGAUUAAGAAGAUGUGGUAUAUAUAGGCAAUGGAAUACUACUCAGCCAUAAAAAGGAACGAAAUAAUGCCAUUUGCAGCAACAUGGAUGGAACUAGAGAUUCUCAUACUAAGAGAAGUAAGAAAAAGAAAGACAAAUACCAUGUGAUAUCUCUUCUUUGCUGAAUCUAAUAUAUACACAAAUGAACCUAUUUACAGAAUAGAAACAAACUCAUGGAUAUAGAGAACAGACUUAUGAUUUCCAAGGGGGAGAGGGAGAGAAUGGGAUGGACUGGGAUGCUGGGGUUUGUAGAGGCAAACUACUGCAUUUGGAGUUGAAUAAGCAAUGAGGUCUUGCUGUAUAGCACAGGGAACUAUGUCCAAUCACUUGUGAUGGAAUACGAUGGAAGAUAAUACAAGAAAAAGAAUGUAUGUAUAAAAGAAUGUAUAUGUAUAACAUAUGUAUAACUGAGUCACUUUGCUAUGCAGCAGAAAUUGACAGAACAUUGUAAAUAAACUAUGGUAAAAACAAGUUUUUGAAAGUCACUCGAGAAGCUAGAUAAAAUGAAUGGUUCUACAUCUAUUACUGAAGUGUUCAUUUAGUUAAAAUUCUUCCCUCAAAGUAAACACAAGCCCAAUGACUCCACUGGAAAAUUCUAAUAUAUAUAUCAUAUAAUGUAUACAAAUAUAAUAUAAAUUAUAUGUUUCUAACAUAUACAUAUACAUUUAUAUAUAAUACUAAUUCUAUAAAAGUUUUCUAGGAGAAAAUUUUUAGUUAAAAAUCUAUCCACAGAUAUUCAUAGCAGCUUUAUUUUUAAUAGCCCUAACCCAAAAACAACCCAAAUGUCUAUAGAGAAACAAAUUAUGUUAUAUGCAUAAAAUGGAAUAUUAUUCAGUAAUUUAAAUAUAUACAGAUACUGACAGAUGAAACGAUGUGGAUGAACCUCAAAAUAAUAAUGCUAGGUGAAAGAAUCCAUACAAAAGGAAUUUAUAUAUAUACAAUUUUAGAGAAUGGAAACUAAUCUCAAUAGCUGCCUAGGAAUGCAGGAUGGGAAAACCAGGAAGGGGAGAGAAUAAUGGAAUGACAAUGGGGGCAUGAGGAAACUGGGGGCAGUAGUUACAUUCAUUAUAUAUACUCAUGGCCAUGAUGGCUCCAUAUAUACACAGAUGGCUAGCUAGGUAAUUACACACACAUAUAUGUCAAAACAUCAAAUUUUGUACUUUAUUAUAUGUUUACUAUAAUACAGCUGUGAAAUAACUUUAAAUCAAAUAAUCCUUUGCUAAGACAAUUUCAAUGUUAAGUCAUAACAUAUUAUGUAUCAUAUUUUAUAAACUAUAUAUAAAUAUGUCAAUGUAUAAUAUAUAUACUAUAUCAACAAAAUAUACAAAAAUGUAUAUUAAGGGUAUGCAAAUUAUUUUUAAAUGAUGAAAAAAUUGAAAAAAUGAAGUAAUGAACCACCUAUUGAAAAAUUAUCUGAAAAAUUUUCAUAAAAGCAAUUCUUUGUAAACUCAAUACAUAUUUCAGUAUUAUCUGAAAAUAUUAAAAGUUAACCCCUAAAUGGCAUCUAAUUUUUUUGGAUACUUUCCAGAAAAUCUACACUCUUUACCAUAUCAUUCACUAAGAAUAUCUAACCAGUUUCAAAGAUUCCUUCUUCAGAGUAUUUUUAGAGCCUAAGAGGUGGAGGAAGGGAAGUGCAUUGGUCUCAAAGGACAAAUUACAACCCACUGCUUUACUAGCUUCAUGAAAAAUCCAUUUCUAGUUGAGAUAGUUGUUUACCAUAGGAGUAUCUGCAAUAAUGCCAAUACAUAAUAAAUAUUCACUACAUACUUGUAGAAUGAAUAAAUUUGUUUAGUUAAUGGUAGUGGCAUAUCCAGAAUAGAAAACAAAAAGAGAAGACCUUUUAGAGGGAAAAUUAUGAGUUUAGUUUGAAUCUAUUGGAUUUCUGUUAUCUGUAAGAAACCAGGUUAAUGUACCUGCCACAUAUCUGGAAAUGUGGAUCUAAAGAUGAAUCUCUAAGAUAGAAUUUUGAACAUAUUAAACACAGAGGUAGUGAUUAAAGCUGCUUCAGAGGAUGUUGUCUCCAAGGCAGGAAGGGUACAAAGCCCAAAGCACACAAAAGAAGAAAAGUCAAUGUUGGAGACAAAUCAUGGAGGUCAGAAAAAUACUUUACAAAUGUUCAGAGAUGAAAUUUUUAUCUUUUUUUUUUUUUUUUUUUUUUUUUGGCGUGUGGUCACACCCACGGUAUAUAGAAGUUCCCAGGCUAGGGACUGAAUCUGAGCUGAAGCUGUUGGCCUAUGCCAUAGCCACAGCAAUGCCAGAUCUGAGCCACAUCAGCAACUUACACCCCAGCUCGUGGAAGCAGUGGAUCCUUACCCACUGGGCUGGGUCAGGGAUCAAACCCACAUCCUCAUGGAUACUAGCCACCCACACCAUCAGGGAUACUAGUCAGGUUUGAUACUGCUGAGACUCAAUGGGAACUCCAAUAUUUUUUAAUUAAGGAAAUUAAUAUCCCAAAGAAGGAUGAAUAAGGAAAAAGAACUAAAUUGCAUCCAAUCCAAUAUUAAAUCAAAUCAAAUCAAACUGAUACUUACCUUAGGUCUAUAAUAUGUAAAUCAUGUGAAUAGCUGAGUUUUCAGUUACUUUUAAUGGGUACUUAUUCAUAGUUGAAAGAAUAAAAUUAGGCUUCCUUCCGCAGUUCAAAAGCAUCCAGAUUUUAGUGACCUGGCCAUAAUUUGCAGUAAGUAAUAAGGCUUGAAUAAAUGUUAUUCUAUUUACUGUGUGUCAGAGGAUUAAUUAAUCAGUAAAUAAAAAUAAAUGUUCUUUUUCUUUUUUUUUUUUUUUUUGUCUUUUUGCUAUUUCUUUGGGCCGCUCCCGCAGCAUAUGGAGGUUCCCAGGUUAGGGGUCGAAUCAGAGUUGUAGCCGCCAGCCUACGCCAGAGCCACAGCAACGCAGGGUCCGAGCCGCGUCUGAGACCUACACCACAGCUCACGGCAACGCCGGAUCGUUAACCCACUGAGCAAGGGCAGGGACUGAACCCGCAACCUCAUGGUUCCCAGUCGGAUUCGUUAUCCACUGCGCCACGACAGGAAUUCCAAAAUAAAUGUAUUUAAAUUGUUGUAUGGACGACUACAAAAUUGGACAUCAUAUAAUGAAAUGUUAUUUACUACUUUUGGGAAUCUGAGUUUGUGUUAGAAAUGGUGUACUUUUCAACACAACUUCCCUUCAAUGACUUGUAUCAUUUGUUUGCUUUUCCACUCUCUCCAUCCUCUCCCUGCCCCCAAAUAAUGUUUAAUUUCCUAAAAUAAUUGCCGUGGCACAGUCAUCUACUAUAUAUAGAUAUAAAUCACAAACAACUCUCUCACACACAUGCACCUGUAUAUUUCAUUAACUUCAUUCUAAAUAGCAAUCAUGUGCUACAGGGUAUCCUAAA
This 3485-nucleotide long non-coding RNA is filed under the name Sus scrofa (pig). Its description in RNAcentral is "lncRNA (ENSSSCG00000063041.1)". Lineage: Eukaryota; Metazoa; Chordata; Mammalia; Artiodactyla; Suidae. The record is from RNAcentral.